GUGCUCACUUCGGCAGCACAUAUACUAAAAUUAAAACGGUGUAGUGAAGAUAGCAUGGCCCCUGUGGAAGGAUGACAUGCAAAUUGGUGAAGUGUUCCAUAUUUAA
Myotis davidii is the source of this 106-nucleotide non-coding RNA. The record is from Rfam. Lineage: Eukaryota; Metazoa; Chordata; Mammalia; Chiroptera; Vespertilionidae.